Molecule: long non-coding RNA, 4761 nt
Organism: Triticum urartu
Lineage: Eukaryota; Viridiplantae; Streptophyta; Magnoliopsida; Poales; Poaceae
Source: RefSeq, a predicted model, not a curated record
AGAAAAAGCAACGCAGCCUCCUCUCCUCUCCUCGCUCGCCUCCUUCUCUCCCACCACGCCGCCCCUCGUCUCCUCUUCCCUCCACGCCGGCUCCCCUGGCUGCUUGCCUCUCCGACCCGGGCCAGAGCCUCGCCAGCCGCUCCCCCCAGCCGGCGCUCACUAGCUGCUCUCCCGCCGCAUCCUCCCCGAGGGUACGGAGAGAGUCGUGAUGGCAGCACACCAUCGCCCCCUCUGCUGCAAGAGAUCCAGCCACCCCGGCCCGUCCCUUCGAAACCAGCACCGCGGCUCCAUACCUCGCCGCCUCUCCUCCUUUUCCUCCUCUCUCUCCCGCGCCUCCGUCCUGCCCCCAUCCACCCGUGCUCGACCCCGACCCUGGAUCCCAUCCCACCGUAUCCGAGGCGUUUGGGCGUGGAGGCGAGCUUCUCCGACGGCAACGAUGACCACCAUCCAGGCCCCCUUGCUCACGGUGGAGAGGCUACGACCGAGGGGAUGCAGAUGAGGAGUGGGCCUCGCGGAGGAGGAUUCCGUGGCGGUGGAGCGGAGCGUGCGGUGGCACGGAAGUAGCAGUGGAGGCCGGGAGAGCGCGGCGCGGCAUCACGUGGUUGUGGUGGCCGAAGGGGCGGCGCGGCGUUGCUGCCUCUACCUCCAUCCUGACCCUUUUACUCGCGCGCAGGCUAUACUUGCAAGUGCAUUUGCUCGUAAGGACCAUUUGAAGGCCAAGGCCACAGCUUACCGCGUACUGCAGCUCGGAUUGAUCUUGGGGCUUCUCCUGGGCCUACUUCUUGGAGUUGGCCUCCAUACAGGUUUGAGAUUAUUUACAGAAGACCAUGGUGUACUGCAUCAUAUCUACAUGCCAACACCGUUCAUAGUACUUGCGAGUAUACCCCUAAAAAAUUAGUACUUGAGAGUACAACAACAACAACAACAACAAAGCCUUUAGUCCCAAACAAGUUGGGGUAGGCUAGAGGUGAAACCCAUAAGAUCUCGCAACCAACUCAUGGCUCUGGCACAUGGAUAGCAAGCUUCCACGCACCCCUGUCCAUAGCUAGCUCUUUGGUGAUACUCCAAUCCUUCAGGUCUCUCUUAACGGACUAAAAAAAUUAGUACUUGAGAGUAUGGCAAUCUUUUCUUAUGUUUGAUUACCUCAAGGCAAUCUCUUGAACUAAGCAGAGUUAUGUUUCCUAUGUACAGUUUGUUGCUCUCGCUCAACCAAUCAAUGCUUUAGCUUUUGUUUUCGACGGUGUCAAUUAUGGAGCAUCAGAUUUUGCAUAUGCUGCUUAUUCGUUGGCAAGUCCGCUAAUUUUCCAGCUUAUCUGUGCCCUGACUUUCCAGCUUUCUCUUCUGACACAUUCCAUUGAAGUAUGUAUCCUCAGAUACUUGUGGCUGUUGUCAGCAUCGCUUGCAUUGUCACCCACGCAAGUUACAGUGAUUUCAUUGGAAUCUGGAUAGCCUUGUCCAUCUACAUGUGCCUCCGCAUGUUUGUAGGAUUAUGGAGGAUUGGGACUGCUAGCGGGCCAUGAGCUUUCCUUCGCAGCUGAACAUGUAACGUGCAUUCUCGUAGAUAGUAUAAGGUAGGUAGAAUAUUUAUACUUGUAAGCAACUUUGGAGUUCAGACUAAGAUUUGGUGCGUCAGUAUAUGAAAUCUACUAUAAAUCAAAAGCCAAUAUAAAGGUAUGCUCCACCUUGAUUGUCGCUACUAUGUUCCACUCCUAUACUGACCAGGGGAAGUUCUAUAUUAUGCCAAUUUUUUCUUCAAUUUACUACUGUGUUUAGAGUGUACGUAUCGAACGAACCAAUUCCUUCAGUUAUAUCAGUACAUAUUAAAACGAAAAGGUGUAUAUGAACAUAAGCAUUCAUACGAACUAAAAUUGUUUGGCAUCCAUUCCUUUCCUGCGGGUCAUUCAUCAUCUCAUCUCACAACACUCAUGCCACAUAACCUGGCGAGCUCACACCUUACUCAGUUCUAUGUACCAGCUAUGUAGAUUUAUUCACCGAACUGAGAUGAUAUCUGUGCUCAGUUAGAUGCUGCUUGCUCUGACCAUGCUUGCUGCAAUAAUCAGUCUAUUUGAUAUGAGACCUAUCUAUUCUUUGUUGACGUUUGGUUACAAAUCCUGGAGCUAUUCUUUUUGUAUUGAGAAUAUUACCUUUUAUCACCUUAUUUGGCUGCAGUUUAUCUUUCCCAUUAGUUGUGUUAGUAAACUACACUGAGAAUGUUUGUUAACUUUUUAUGGCUUGGGAUCUUGCAGCUGCGGCGGCUCGCUGUUUGUGUGGUGAGGGUUACUUCUCCUGGUGCAGUAAUACCAUUUUGGAGUGUCCCUUGUUUGCAACUAUAUUUAUCUACAGCCUCUGCUAACAGGGCUCCGGUUCAGAGAAAAUCAAAGGGACAAACAAAGCUCGGAUGCACGUUUGUUGGUAGAUCAGUUUAAGCUGCUUUUAUUGAACCAAAAGUUAAUGUUGUUGGCCUUACCAGACUGCCAGCCCUCAAAGAGGUCGUUCAGCCUCGAAGGAGAGGGGAACUGAUGGAUGCCAGGGAAAGAAACUAGGUGAAGCUCUGAUGCUUGAUCGAGUAAGCAUCCUCUUCUUAUCACUCUACUUUGUCGGUUGUCCACUGAAAUGGUAUGAUCAAAAUAUUCCUUGAAUUUGCUCCAUGACAUCUUGCUUGCCAUGUGGUCACCUUACCUUAAAAUUGACAUAUUAAUCAAUAAACUACUGUUUAGGCAAGGGUUUAUAGUCCCAGUAAACUAUAAACCCAAAUAAUUGUUCCAAAAUUUCGAAUUUACCUUUGCACAUGUAGAAGAGCAUCAUAGAUUGUUUAGACUUGGUGUUAACAAAAAAUGAUAGUAGUAUGGUCAGACCUAUUUUCCCCACCUGCUUACUCAUUUGAGUACAUUUGAUUGCACUUUUGGGACAUUAUUACCAUUUUUACUUUUUACUUUGUUCAGACGCCGGUUCUUAUUUGGUUUAGAGGUAUGCUACUCCAAACAUAUGUUCAUUUUGGGUUUAGAUUUUGUAGAUUGAACUAAUGCGAUACGAAAAUUAUCCGUCACCCCAAAGGUUCUUCCCUGUUGGUUUCGGGAUUAGUAUUUUGAUCUCUGUUUGAAAAAGGACAAACAAGAACAGACUCACUAACACCAUUGUGUUCCUCCCUGUUGGUUUCAACAUCAGUAUUUUGACCUCUGUUUGAAAACUAUUAGAAAGGACAGAUAAUAACACACUCAUUGACACCCUCUAAUAUCUUUUUAAUUAUGAACUCAGUUAGCUGAACUUUAUCGCAUAGAUUUCUAAUGGUUUAAUAUGUAGUUAUUUUUUGUAAUUUGAGUUGACUAGCUCUAUUUAUAUAGAACAGAAAUAUUUGUCUGCUAUUCACUUAAGGUUCAUAUACUUUGUGAUUUUCAGCUAGAACGACUUCUUAAGUAUCCACAUCUAUUGGGCAGCUUGAGAAUUCAGUUUUUUUCGUAUGACACCAGACUGGGUACAACUAAUAUGGCGCCAUCUUUGCUUCAGUCUAUGUACUUCACUUUUGGCCUCUGUAGCAAGUCAAAGUAGUAGAUGUCUAAUGAUCAAAUGAUUCCUCCACUAAACGCAACGAGUGCAUGCUGGUAGUUGUUGCAUAAGGACGAAAAAUAACAUGGCCCGCUGCCGUCCUGCUGCAAAUCCCCCACCCCCCCUCGCCAUGUUUUUGUAUACACCAUGCAUGGAGCACAUAGCUGCACAUAGACUGAUUAGCAAACACUUGUUGUUGUGUGAUAAUAAAAUCACCAAUUAGUUAAUUUUGUAUUUGACUUUGCUUGUUCAAUUGUUAUCAGUGUUUUCAAAUUUGGCACCAUCUACAUCAUAAUUAAUUGGAAUCCCUUCAUGAAGGAACCAGAUGCUCCCAAAGUUCUUCUGGUUGAGUCGUUUACUUACUAGCAAUGACAUUCACAAUGGGAAGCCUUUAUAGCAGGCUACUUUGAUUGAUUCCCAAACUAUGGCUUAGUUGCAAAUGUUUUGGCGGUGAUGUUUCAUACACCAGUCCAGUGUUGCUACCCAAUGAUGAGUUGUAUAUAUGAAGCACUUUGAAAUGCUUUGAAGAAAGUCUUUUAGGUGGCGGUUCUACUGCUGCUACUCCUGUGACAGCCAAUGCGUAGGUUGCAGCUCGCAGAAUUUUAAGGAGGAAAGGAAGACAUGAUUUCUUCUUGGUGAGAUAACUAAGUGUUUAUAAGGUGGGCGGCAAGGCGUGCUAACAGCGGCUUGCAAUUAUGCCCGCUUUAGGAGCUUAGGAGCUUAGACGUCUACCUUAGGCGCUUAGGCGUCAGAGCGGUUGGUCCUCACCUUAGGUCGCCUUACUGCCUUAAAAAUCAUGGUAGUCACACACUCAUGACACAUUACCUUUGAAGCUUGUGUAUAUGAAUGUAUAGGUACACUUAGUGAUCUGCAUUGGUAAGUACUAACUGAACUGAAUAUCUUGAUCACAAGAUAUAUCUUUGUUGGCCGGCUUGGUUUAAGAACCCAUUAGCUGGUUUAUACUCCCGUCAUCCCAAAAUAAGUGUCGCCGAUUUAGUACAACUUUUUUUUUUGACGGGAGCUGAUUUAGUACAACUUUACUAAAUCAACGACACUUAUUUUGGGACAGAGGGAGUACAAUAUUUGUCCGCUUAUUUCUUUGGUUUUUUUUUUUGCUUUCAAUCGUAUGUGGCAUAGAUGUGCAGUUCAAAGGCAGGGCUGUGCCAAAGAUGUGAAUCAAAUAAUUAUGCCGAUCGGUGCAUGUUUUUGUUGCUCUUA